GGACUUCCUAGCGCUAAAUAUGACUGAAAACAGAGCACAAGCACAGCCCAGAACAAAUCGGUACAUCUGGAAAGCUAUACAAAUGGAUUCAGUACCCAUGAGGAAAGCAUCCUAACGAAAGACUUUCAAAUUGCCUUGUUCUCUCCGUCUGCGAAGGAGAGCCCCGCUGUACCUCCCAAUUAAGACAGUAGAUCUGCCUGGUCACCCACCGCUCACAACACUUUCUGACUUAU
Molecule: long non-coding RNA, 233 nt
Organism: Sinocyclocheilus grahami
Lineage: Eukaryota; Metazoa; Chordata; Actinopteri; Cypriniformes; Cyprinidae
Exons: 3
Source: RefSeq, a predicted model, not a curated record